CUUUUCUCUCGAUUCUUGGUG
Molecule: microRNA, 21 nt
Filed under: Picea abies (Norway spruce)
Lineage: Eukaryota; Viridiplantae; Streptophyta; Pinopsida; Pinales; Pinaceae
Description: pab-miR11472
Source: miRBase by way of RNAcentral